GUCCCUUCGACAUUCGAUAAAAUUGAAACGAUGUAGAGAAAAUUAACACGCACACUUUGCAAGAAUGACACGAACAAAUCGAGAAGAAAAAAAAGAUGGA
Molecule: small RNA, 100 nt
Filed under: Olea europaea subsp. europaea
Lineage: Eukaryota; Viridiplantae; Streptophyta; Magnoliopsida; Lamiales; Oleaceae
Source: RNAcentral